RNAcentral lists this ribosomal RNA (389 nucleotides) under uncultured bacterium. RNAcentral describes it as "bacterial SSU rRNA". It matches the Rfam family "Bacterial small subunit ribosomal RNA", at positions 30 to 418 of the family's 1533-position model. The record is from RNAcentral.
AUUGAACGCUGGCGGCAUGCCUUACACAUGCAAGUCGAACGGCAGCACGGGAGCAAUCCUGGUGGCGAGUGGCGAACGGGUGAGUAAUAUAUCGGAACGUGCCCAGUCGUGGGGGAUAACGUAGCGAAAGCUACGCUAAUACCGCAUACGAUCUAUGGAUGAAAGGCGGGGGAUCGCAAGACCUCGCGCGAUUGGAGCGGCCGAUAUCAGAUUAGGUAGUUGGUGAGGUAAAGGCUCACCAAGCCGACGAUCUGUAGCUGGUCUGAGAGGACGACCAGCCACACUGGGACUGAGACACGGCCCAGACUCCUACGGGAGGCAGCAGUGGGGAAUUUUGGACAAUGGGCGCAAGCCUGAUCCAGCAAUGCCGCGUGCAGGAUGAAGGCCUC